ACCAUGACACUCUGUACAUUGUAAUGGGGGCCAAUUGUGAUUUCAGAGAGGUAUGUGUAAAUCGUGACACAUUAUGCUUAGUGUACAAGGUGUUAUUUUUUUACAACAUUAACAUCUUCCUGCAUUUCCUUCUUCAAAGGAAAACAUGCUGCAAAUUAGGAGAUGGUGGUGUCUCGCUCUCCUGCAGAACUUCCGUUAGCCGUCCGAAGAAGACCGAUUGCAGGACAGAAUACGGCGACGAGUGCAAGGAGGGCUACAGACGCUGGGAAAUUGACAGAACUGGAAACCGGGAACAGGGUUGCUUGUUAUGGGCCAGAAAAAUACCAUGAUACUUGCCAUUGUUAAACAUUUAUGGAAGCUUAAGGAAUGUAUUUGGCUUAGCUAAAACAGAUUUCUUUGCAGAUCAAACAUUUUUUGCCUGGGGUGAAAAU
Long non-coding RNA from Gadus macrocephalus (Pacific cod), 431 nucleotides. RefSeq lists it as uncharacterized. The transcript has 3 exons. Lineage: Eukaryota; Metazoa; Chordata; Actinopteri; Gadiformes; Gadidae. The record is from RefSeq and is a predicted model, not a curated record.